RNAcentral lists this transfer RNA (74 nucleotides) under Patescibacteria group bacterium. Its description in RNAcentral is "tRNA-Ile". It matches the Rfam family "tRNA". From Rfam's summary of the family: Transfer RNA (tRNA) molecules are approximately 80 nucleotides in length. Their secondary structure includes four short double-helical elements and three loops (D, anti-codon, and T loops). Further hydrogen bonds mediate the characteristic L-shaped molecular structure. tRNAs have two regions of fundamental functional importance: the anti-codon, which is responsible for specific mRNA codon recognition, and the 3' end, to which the tRNAs corresponding amino acid is attached (by aminoacyl-tRNA synthetases). tRNAs cope with the degeneracy of the genetic code in two manners: having more than one tRNA (with a specific anti-codon) for a particular amino acid; and 'wobble' base-pairing, i.e. permitting non-standard base-pairing at the 3rd anti-codon position. The record is from RNAcentral.
GAGUCGGUAGCUCAGUUGGUAGAGCGGUGAGCUUAUACCUCAUUGGUCGGGGGUUCGAGUCCCUCCCGACUCAC